GUCUACAGCCAUGCCACCCUGAACAAGCCCGAUCCCGUCUGAUCUCGGAAGCUAAGCAGGGUUCGGCCUGGUUAGUAGUUGGAUGGGAGACCACCUAGGAAGACCAAGGUGCUGUAGGCA
Pteropus alecto (black flying fox) is the source of this 120-nucleotide non-coding RNA. The record is from Rfam. Lineage: Eukaryota; Metazoa; Chordata; Mammalia; Chiroptera; Pteropodidae.